This 497-nucleotide ribosomal RNA is filed under the name uncultured bacterium. RNAcentral describes it as "partial 16S ribosomal RNA". It matches the Rfam family "Bacterial small subunit ribosomal RNA", at positions 28 to 507 of the family's 1533-position model. The record is from RNAcentral.
GAUGAACGCUGGCGGCGUGCCUAAUACAUGCAAGUCGAGCGAACGGACGCGAAGCUUGCUUCUCUGAUGUUAGCGGCGGACGGGUGAGUAACACGUGGAUAACCUACCUAUAAGACUGGGAUAACUUCGGGAAACCGGAGCUAAUACCGGAUAAUCUUUUGAACCGCAUGGUUCAAAAGUGAAAGACGGUCUUGCUGUCACUUAUAGAUGGAUCCGCGCUGCAUUAGCUAGUUGGUAAGGUAACGGCUUACCAAGGCAACGAUGCAUAGCCGACCUGAGAGGGGGAUCGGCCACACUGGAACUGAGACACGGUCCAGAGUCCUACGGGAGGCAGCAGUAGGGAAUCGUCCGCAAAGGGCGAAAGCCUGACGGAGCAACGCCGCGUGAGUGAUGAAGGUCUUCGGAUCGUAAAACUCUGCUAUUAGGGAGGAACAUAUGUGUAAGUAACUGUGCACAUCGUGACGGUACCUAAUCAGAAAGCCACGGCUAACUACGUG